CCCUUAGAUGUUCUGGGCCGCACGCGCGCUACAAUGGCAAAAUCAACAAGUUACCUUUGUCGACAGACAUAGGAAAUCUUUUCAGUUUUUGUCGUGAUGGGGAUAGACCCUUGUAAUUGUUGGUCUCCAACGAGGAAUUCCUAGUAAACGCAAGUCAUUAACUUGCAUUGAUUACGUCCCUGCCCUUUGUACACACCGCCCGUCGCACCUACCGAUUGAAUGGUCCGGUGAAGUCUUCGGACUAUAGGUUGCCUUGAGCAACUUGUGGAAAGUUGAGUAAACCUUACCAUUUAGAGGAAGGUGAAGUCGUANCA
RNAcentral lists this ribosomal RNA (314 nucleotides) under uncultured eukaryote. RNAcentral's name for it is "partial 18S ribosomal RNA". It matches the Rfam family "Eukaryotic small subunit ribosomal RNA", at positions 1470 to 1796 of the family's 1831-position model. The record is from RNAcentral.